This 1247-nucleotide long non-coding RNA is filed under the name Sus scrofa (pig). RNAcentral's name for it is "lncRNA (ENSSSCG00005012848.1)". The record is from RNAcentral. Lineage: Eukaryota; Metazoa; Chordata; Mammalia; Artiodactyla; Suidae.
CUACCACAAUCCAGGUAGGAGGUGACAGUGCUGCAGCCAGGCUGCACGGCGAAGGAUGGGAGGGGCCCCCGGAGAAACCUGAAUCAGCCCUUCCCGCUGAGGCGUAUGGCCCAAUGAAGUUGGAGGGGUGAAUUCGAAGCAAGACCUCAAGCAGGGGGUGAAGCGGACAUGAUGUAGAGAAGCUGCUGCUGAUGGCAAUGGGACCAGAAAAGGGGGGCCUAAGGAAGAGAGAACAUGAGAAGCAAAAAGGGCAGCCCCUUAACCUUCAACCUCAGAGGCUCGUGUGGGAGAAACCCAGUCAGGUCUGAGGGGAGAUCUCACAGCAAGGGGGUGGGUGGGACUUGACUCAGAUUGCAGUGGGGAGAAAUUUUAAUGACACCCCCUCCCUAGCAAACCAGCGAUGCAAGAUGGUGCCAGCACAAUAUGGUGCCAAUCAGGAGGUGGUUUGGAAUGGCUGAGGAAGGGAGUCUGGGAAGUGGCUUCAUGCAACGCUGCUCGUUCUAGUGAGAAUGCAGCCAGGUAGUCCUAGGUCCCAGGGGCCGCAGAGCCAAGAUCUGCCUCACCAGCUAUGUGCAGGGACCACGCACUUUGGCUUCACCUCUUCCUGCCCCUACCCCACCAGCAAGCCCCAGGGACCAGAACCAUCUCUGUCCUGCGUGUGUGUGUGUGUUGUGUGUGUGUGUGUGUGUGUGUGUGUGUGUGUGUGUGUAAGAAUGCAGGGGACUCCACUCAGACCUUCAACCCUCUUGUCCCACCACCGUGAGGCCCAUGAACAUCUCUCUGCACCAGGAAAUUAUCUUGGCUGGGAGAAGGCGGAAGGGUGAGAAAACCUUGGAAUACUGAGCAAUUUUACUCAAAAGAGACUGAGUUAAUCAUACAGAAAUGGAGCUAUGUCUAAGGGGCAAUUUAAUGCUUUCUUUUUGUUUGUUUUCUUUUUGCCCGUCAGUAGUAGGAAUUAUCAGAUCACGAUGAGAAGAGUAUAAGAAAAAGUAAGAACAAUACUGAUUUGACCCAUCUGGGUAGGUGUGUGUGUGUGAUCUUUAGCCCUCCCACAAUUAUGUCUGUACACGUUUGCUGGGGCAACUGUAUAUUUUCAAUUCCAAUCGUCAGACCUUUCCUUGAAGCUCACGUGUGUUUUGAUCUGGCCAGGAAUUGAGAAUCAUAAAAUCAUUAAAUCUGUAUUAAUUACCUAUUGCUGCAUAGUAAGUUAAUCCAAAAUUUAGCUGAAAUAAAUAUGUAUUAUCUCA